Molecule: ribosomal RNA, 548 nt
Filed under: Salmonella enterica subsp. enterica serovar Hvittingfoss
Lineage: Bacteria; Pseudomonadati; Pseudomonadota; Gammaproteobacteria; Enterobacterales; Enterobacteriaceae
Description: bacterial SSU rRNA
Rfam family: Bacterial small subunit ribosomal RNA
Source: RNAcentral
UUUCCAGAGAUGGACUGGUGCCUUCGGGAACUGUGAGACAGGUGCUGCAUGGCUGUCGUCAGCUCGUGUUGUGAAAUGUUGGGUUAAGUCCCGCAACGAGCGCAACCCUUAUCCUUUGUUGCCAGCGAUUAGGUCGGGAACUCAAAGGAGACUGCCAGUGAUAAACUGGAGGAAGGUGGGGAUGACGUCAAGUCAUCAUGGCCCUUACGACCAGGGCUACACACGUGCUACAAUGGCGCAUACAAAGAGAAGCGACCUCGCGAGAGCAAGCGGACCUCAUAAAGUGCGUCGUAGUCCGGAUUGGAGUCUGCAACUCGACUCCAUGAAGUCGGAAUCGCUAGUAAUCGUGGAUCAGAAUGCCACGGUGAAUACGUUCCCGGGCCUUGUACACACCGCCCGUCACACCAUGGGAGUGGGUUGCAAAAGAAGUAGGUAGCUUAACCUUCGGGAGGGCGCUUACCACUUUGUGAUUCAUGACUGGGGUGAAGUCGUAACAAGGUAACCGUAGGGGAACCUGCGGUUGGAUCACCUCCUUACCUUAAAGAAGC